This 1965-nucleotide long non-coding RNA is filed under the name Gossypium barbadense (sea-island cotton). RNAcentral describes it as "long non-coding RNA (GBAR_LNC017400)". The record is from RNAcentral. Lineage: Eukaryota; Viridiplantae; Streptophyta; Magnoliopsida; Malvales; Malvaceae.
GAAUCUGUUGAGUUCAUCUAUAAAAAUCAAUAGCUAAAGUUUUACAUCUCCUUUCGUUUGGCAUGAAUAACCAAACUAUUCCUGGCUGAUUCGCACCAGUUAUUCAUUAGUUUAGUUCAUUGUUUAUCACCGAAUCAGCCAGGAAUCGUUUGAUUAUUCUCGUCCCAAACAGUUAUUUGGAUUCUUCUCCUGAUUUUUUUAUUUUGGAUUUUUCGUUUGUUUUGGGUUUGAAGUUAAAUUUUAAUAGAGUAGUGAAGUUGAUUACUCUGCUGCUUGAAUUUGCUUGUUUGCAUAUUUGUUAGAACGUAAAUGUUUGAUCAUUUGCCUCAAUGAAAAUCGAACCUUGUUUAACUAGGUAAUUUUUAUAUUCCUGUUAAACCCAAGUUCUUUGUUUUAAUUAAUCUCAAUUUUCGAAAUUUUGAAUCUUUGGUCAUUAGUUUCUAGUUAAGUAAAGCCUUCUCUUUUGAAUGAAAUCCUUAAGAUAUGUUCUAGUUUCCUGUUUGUGUUGUUUAUGUUGCUUUGCCUUAUGUUAUAAAAAGUUAGAAGAUUUAAAACCAUAGUGGCAUUGCUUUAGGGGUUCAGCACUUGAGGCUCUAUAAGAUGCUUAAUUCACAUUUCAUGCAAGCAUUUGCAUUUUUUUCUUGUUAUGUUGCUGAUAAUGGAAUGGAUAGGAAAUGUGGUCAUUGGAAUACAAUAAUUUUAUAUGCAAUUAUAGAUAUUGGGAUUCAAAUCCGAGAUCUGCUGCCCUAUGCAUGAUAUGAGAUUUCCCUAUGUGGUCAUUGGAAAUCUUGGGUUUUACAGUAUGAGAUUUAACUGUAGUUGAUCACACAUCUUUCAACUAUAUUGUUUGCAUAAUAUAAGUUAUAUACAUACACACACUCACAAAAGAGAUCAUAUUCUAAGAGAAGAGAUUACAGGUACAGGGAUUCAAACUUGAGAUCUGCUGAAUGUCAUCAUGUAAAACACGAAUCAAUUGAGUUAGAACACCGGAUUUCACGAUAAGAUAUUUAACUGCAGUUCUUGAUUAUGCACCUCUCAACUCUUUGCUCUGCAUAUUAUUACUCCUAAGAAACCUUUGCUUGACCUUGUUCCAAAGUUUGGCAGCAAAUCCUCUGGUAACUUCCUUUGUUCUCCUGUUUCUCUGCAAAAAAUUGAACCUUGUUUGAAUAUUUGGGUUUUCAUCUUCGAUGUCGCUGUUUCAUCCUUGGAUGUUGUUGGUCUAGUAAAACCUUCCAUGAAAUGGCAUAAUGUUAUUGAAAAAGUGUUUACUCUGCUUACAGAGCUUAUUGAGAUGCUUACAUAUAAUUCUUGCUUUCUCCUUACUUUGUCAUUCGAACUGCAUGGUUUAUUUACGAAUGAAUGUUGUUUUUCACUUCUUUCGUUUUCAUGUAAUUUCAGGCUUUGCUGCCUUUUGCAUGCUUAUUUUGAGGAUGAUGUAGGUGAUUGUGGUUGUUUUUGUCUUCUUCUUUUCCCCUUACAGUUACUGUUUGAGCUAUUUUGGGUGGUACAUAGUAAUGAAGUCAUCAAUUUGCCUUUUUUUCUAAAUAUUGAGAAUGUUUAUGGGUUUUAGUUUAUCUUUCUUUUGCUUCCAAAAAAUAUUCCCUGUAUGUUUUGUUUAGCCUCAAGUUUGCUUCUAUUUGUGUUUAGGCACUGCAAUUUUGAUCUUUUUUUAUAUCUUAGGGAAGGUUGUUGAACUAUGGAAUAUAAAUCAUUGCAAUCGACUGAACAAGAAAAACCAUUCAUCAGCAACAAUGAUAUUUUAGAAGAAUUUCAUGCAAAAUUGCAGUCUAGUUGCUUAAAAGGAAGAUAAGGACACAAGUUAUUGUAGUCCACACCUUUCGCCUUUGAUAUUGAAUAGUAUAAGUUACUGAUCAAAUAUAUUAAUAAUGUCGUUGAUUGAGUUGAUAUCAUAAAUUAACUUGGGACACUAACUUAAAAUUGAUGACACUAUCAUGAUCAAUAAUU